UUAAUUCAUUUACUUUAAGACUCAGACGCAGAGACGCAGAGUUUUGGUAUCGUCCACCGGGGGCCCCGGUCCGAAGACCGGGUCACCCCCGAGGCAACGAGGUUUCGAUUACAAAGGGUUGGAGGUCGAGCCAGAGGCCCUCACUCGGUAAUGAUCCCUCCGCAGGUUCACCUACGGAGA
RNAcentral lists this unclassified non-coding RNA (180 nucleotides) under uncultured fungus. RNAcentral's name for it is "sequence contains ITS1". Lineage: Eukaryota; Fungi. The record is from RNAcentral.